AGUGAACGCUGGCGGUAGGCCUAACACAUGCAAGUCGAACGGCAGCACAGUAAGAGCUUGCUCUUACGGGUGGCGAGUGGCGGACGGGUGAGGAAUACAUCGGAAUCUACUUUUUCGUGGGGGAUAACGUAGGGAAACUUACGCUAAUACCGCAUACGACCUACGGGUGAAAGCAGGGGAUCUUCGGACCUUGCGCGAUUGAAUGAGCCGCUGUCGGAUUAGCUAGUUGGCGGGGUAAAGGCCCACCAAGGCGACGAUCCGUAGCUGGUCUGAGAGGAUGAUCAGCCACACUGGAACUGAGACACGGUCCAGACUCCUACGGGAGGCAGCCGUGGGGAAUAUUGGACAAUGGGCGCAAGCCUGAUCCAGCCAUACCGCGUGGGUGAAGAAGGCCUUCGGGUUGUAAAGCCCUUUUGUUGGGAAAGAAAAGCAGCAGGUUAAUCCCCCGCUGUUCUGACGGUACCCAAAGAAUAAGCACCGGCUAACUUCGUG
RNAcentral lists this ribosomal RNA (492 nucleotides) under uncultured bacterium. RNAcentral's name for it is "partial 16S ribosomal RNA". It matches the Rfam family "Bacterial small subunit ribosomal RNA", at positions 29 to 507 of the family's 1533-position model. The record is from RNAcentral.